CGGGGCGUAGCUCAGCCUGGUCUAGAGCGUCUGCAUGGGGUGCAGAAGGUCGCUAGUUCGAAUCUAGUCGCCCCGAC
This 77-nucleotide transfer RNA is filed under the name Phycisphaerae bacterium. RNAcentral's name for it is "tRNA-Pro". It matches the Rfam family "tRNA". From Rfam's summary of the family: Transfer RNA (tRNA) molecules are approximately 80 nucleotides in length. Their secondary structure includes four short double-helical elements and three loops (D, anti-codon, and T loops). Lineage: Bacteria; Pseudomonadati; Planctomycetota; Phycisphaerae. The record is from RNAcentral.